GAUGAAGAAAGCAGCGAAAUGCGAUAAGUAAUGUGAAUUGCAGAAUUCAGUGAAUCAUCGAAUCUUUGAACGCACCUUGCGCCCUUUGGCCAUUCCGAAGGGCAUGCCUGUUUGAGUAUCAUGAACACCUCAACUCUUUAUGGUUUUCCAUGAUGAGCUUGGACUCUGGGGGUUUUGCUGGCUCACAGUCGGCUCCUCUAAAAUGAAUCAGCUUACCAGUGUUUGGUGGGUAUCAUGGGUGUGAUAACUAUCUACGCUUGUGGUUUUUCCACCAGGUAACCUUCAGCAGUGGAGGUUCGCUGGAGCUCAUAGAUGUCUCUCCUCAGUGAGGACAGCCCUUUGAAUGUUUGAUCUCAAAUCAGGUAGGACUACCCGCUGAACUUAAGCAUAUCAAUAAGCGGAGGA
RNAcentral lists this unclassified non-coding RNA (405 nucleotides) under soil metagenome. RNAcentral describes it as "partial contains 5.8S ribosomal RNA, internal transcribed spacer 2, and large subunit ribosomal RNA". The stretch from base 1 to 121 matches the Rfam family "5.8S ribosomal RNA", at positions 35 to 154 of the family's 154-position model. The record is from RNAcentral.